UACGUAGGGCGCAAGCGUUGUCCGGAAUUAUUGGGCGUAAAGAGCUCGUAGGCGGUUUGUCGCGUCUGCUGUGAAAACCUAAGGCUCAACCUUGGGCUUGCAGUGGGUACGGGCAGACUAGAGUACGGUAGGGGUGACUGGAAUUCCUGGUGUAGCGGUGGAAUGCGCAGAUAUCAGGAGGAACACCGAUGGCGAAGGCAGGUCACUGGGCCGCAACUGACGCUGAGGAGCGAAAGCAUGGGGAGCGAACAGG
This 253-nucleotide ribosomal RNA is filed under the name uncultured bacterium. RNAcentral's name for it is "partial 16S ribosomal RNA". It matches the Rfam family "Bacterial small subunit ribosomal RNA", at positions 524 to 776 of the family's 1533-position model. The record is from RNAcentral.